RNAcentral lists this ribosomal RNA (200 nucleotides) under uncultured bacterium. RNAcentral describes it as "partial 16S ribosomal RNA". It matches the Rfam family "Bacterial small subunit ribosomal RNA", at positions 30 to 233 of the family's 1533-position model. The record is from RNAcentral.
AUUGAACGCUGGCGGCAGGCCUAACACAUGCAAGUCGAGCGCGAAAGUUCUUCGGAAUGAGUAAAGCGGCGGACGGGUGAGUAAUACAUGGGAAUCUGCCUGGUAGUGGGGGACAACGUUUCGAAAGGAACGCUAAUACCGCAUACGCCCUACGGGGAAAGGGGGGUAGUCUUCGGACCUCUCGCUAUCAGAUGAGCCCA